AACGAACGCUGGCGGCAUGCCUAACACAUGCAAGUCGAACGAGACCUUCGGGUCUAGUGGCGCACGGGUGCGUAACGCGUGGGAACCUGCCCUUAGGUUCGGAAUAACUCCCCGAAAGGGGUGCUAAUACCGGAUAAUGUCUUCGGACCAAAGAUUUAUCGCCUUUGGAUGGGCCCGCGUUGGAUUAGCUAGUUGGUAGGGUAAAAGCCUACCAAGGCGACGAUCCAUAGCUGGUCUGAGAGGAUGAUCAGCCACACUGGGACUGAGACACGGCCCAGACUCCUCCGGGAGGCAGCAGUGGGGAAUAUUGGACAAUGGGCGAAAGCCUGAUCCAGCACUGCCGCGUGAGUGAUGAAGGCCUUAGGGUUGUAAAGCUCUUUUACCCGGGAUGAUAAUGACAGUACCGGGAGAAUAAGCUCCGGCUAACUCCGU
Molecule: ribosomal RNA, 432 nt
Filed under: uncultured bacterium
Lineage: Bacteria
Description: partial 16S ribosomal RNA
Rfam family: Bacterial small subunit ribosomal RNA
Source: RNAcentral